UACAGAGGGUGCGAGCGUUAAUCGGAAUUACUGGGUGUAAAGGGCGCGUAGGUGGCUUGGCAAGUUGGGUGUGAAAUCCCAGGGCUUAACCCUGGAGCUGCGCUCAAAACUGCCUCGCUAGAGUGGAGUAGAGGGAAUUGGAACUUCCGGUGUAGCGGUGAAAUGCGUAGAUAUCGGAAGGAACACCAGUGGCGAAGGCGGGUUCCUGGACUCAUACUGACACUGAGGCGCGAAAGCGUGGGGAGCAAACAGG
This 253-nucleotide ribosomal RNA is filed under the name uncultured bacterium. Its description in RNAcentral is "partial 16S ribosomal RNA". It matches the Rfam family "Bacterial small subunit ribosomal RNA", at positions 524 to 776 of the family's 1533-position model. The record is from RNAcentral.